Long non-coding RNA from Ictalurus punctatus (channel catfish), 1144 nucleotides. NCBI's taxonomy places the organism in Eukaryota, Metazoa, Chordata, Actinopteri, Siluriformes, Ictaluridae. The record is from Ensembl.
ACAACACUCUGCUCUACUUUACAAUACUCUGCUCUACAAUACUCUGCUCUAUCUCUACAACACUCUGCUCUACUUAACAACACUCUGCUCUACUUUACAAUACUCUGCUCUACAAUACUCUGCUCUACUCUACAACACUCUGCUCUACUUAACAACACUCUGCUCUACUUUACAAUACUCUGCUCUACAAUACUCUGCUCUACUCUACAAUACUCUGCUCUACUCUACAACACUCUGCUCCCACUCUACAAUACUCUGCUCUAACAAUACUCUGCUCUACUCUACAAUACUCUGCUCUACAACACUCUGCUCUACUUUACAAUACUCUGCUCUACAAUACUCUGCUCUACUCUACAACACUCUGCUCUACUUAACACACUCUGCUCUACUUACAAUACUCUGCUCUACAAUACUCUGCUCUACUCUACAACACUCUGCUCUACUUAACAACACUCUGCUCUACUUUACAAUACUCUGCUCUACAAUACUCUGCUCUACGCUACAAUGCUCUGCUCUACUAUACUCUACAAUAUUCUGCUCCACUAUACAUACUCUAUUCUACUCCACUCUACAAUACUCUCCUCCAUAAUACUCUAAAAUACUCUGCUCCACUCCUCUAUACUCUACAAUACUCCACUCUGCAUUUCACUUCCAAACUGAAACUCUAAAUUGUUCCAAGUUGCUUAGGACCAAUUAUUGGGUCAUUCAGAGCUUCUGAGUCAUUAUAUUUCAUUAUAUGUUUUUAGUAAUAAUUUUAUCAUAUGCUAAAAGAAACUGAUGCGACUAAGCUGUGUAAAAUCCUAUUAGCUUACUUCGAUAUGAAUGUUCUAAAAUCUGAUACGACUUGGUACUAUUAAAUACCAUAAAACAGAAACUAUGCAUGUUUUUUUUUUUUUUUUUUUGUUUUUUACUUGUAUAUAAGUAUACACAUGGAAAAUAUAAGCUUCUGUUAGCUGUUGUAUUCGUAAUAAGUGUGUUUUUGCCAAUGUUUUUACAAUGACAGUAUUUUUGCUACGUUGCAUUCCAGUCUCUCUCUGCAGGUUCUUUUUUUUUACUUUCUCGCUCAUUCCUACUUUUAUUAUUAAUUACCAAAUUACUAUUAUUUCCAAAUUUCCUUAAUUAUGUACAUAUAUUUUGUUUAUGC